CAGCUCUCAAUUUUAGUAAAUAAAAUCCUGUCAAUGUGGCAGAGCACUGUCGCAAUGUAUGGCCAAAUGCCAUGAAAUCUGUUAACACAUUGCAAGCUUGUCAGGUGUCUCCAGAAGGGGUCAGCAGAGAUCCGGUUCAGUACAGUGCUACAGGUACCCAAAUUUGGGACUGUUUUGCUGAAUUUGGGAACAUUGAGAUUUAUGAAAUUUGGGAAAGCAGGAAACAUUUUAAAUUUUCAACAUUUUAUAAAUACACAAAGACAAAUAAUGUCCUUGUUUACCUAUCCUUUCUUUAUCAAUUGGUCCAUUACCUCUGAGUCAUUAUAUUGUGAGAAUUUGAAUGUUUAUUGCUCU
Non-coding RNA from Pelobates cultripes (western spadefoot toad), 354 nucleotides. NCBI's taxonomy places the organism in Eukaryota, Metazoa, Chordata, Amphibia, Anura, Pelobatidae. The record is from the annotation of a GenBank genome assembly.